AAGAACCUUACCUGGUCUUGACAUCCACGGAAGUUUUCAGAGAUGAGAAUGUGCCUUCGGGAACCGUGAGACAGGUGCUGCAUGGCUGUCGUCAGCUCGUGUUGUGAAAUGUUGGGUUAAGUCCCGCAACGAGCGCAACCCUUAUCCUUUGUUGCCAGCGGUCCGGCCGGGAACUCAAAGGAGACUGCCAGUGAUAAACUGGAGGAAGGUGGGGAUGACGUCAAGUCAUCAUGGCCCUUACGACCAGGGCUACACACGUGCUACAAUGGCGCAUACAAAGAGAAGCGACCUCGCGAGAGCAAGCGGACCUCAUAAAGUGCGUCGUAGUCCGGAUUGGAGUCUGCAACUCGACUCCAUGAAGUCGGAAUCGCUAGUAAUCGUGGAUCAGAAUGCCACGGUGAAUUCGUUCCCGGGCCUUGUACACACCGCCCGUCACACCAUGGGAGUGGGUUGCAAAAGAAGUAGGUAGCUUAACCUUCGGGAGGGCGCUUACCACUUUGUGAUUCAUGACUGGGGUGAAGUCGUAACAAGGUAACCGUAGGGGAACCUGCGGUUGGAUCACCUCCUUA
Molecule: ribosomal RNA, 569 nt
Filed under: Shigella dysenteriae
Lineage: Bacteria; Pseudomonadati; Pseudomonadota; Gammaproteobacteria; Enterobacterales; Enterobacteriaceae
Description: bacterial SSU rRNA
Rfam family: Bacterial small subunit ribosomal RNA
Source: RNAcentral